UUUUUUUUUUUACAUCUGUCAAGCUCUGAUUGUGGUGGGGUUUUUUUUUCUUCAAGACACAAUUGCCACUAGAAUUCGUUCUACCUUGCUGUAAUCGUCAUUUAAAUUGUAUUGCAUUACUUUUGUACAGAACAUUACAGAAUGAUUUUAAAAGUAUUAGAAUAACAAUAAGUAGCCUAAUCAUUACAUUGUACUUAACUUGCGUGGGUGCCUGAAAUGCUCCAUUAAGUUUUUAUAUAGUUUUUGAUAUAUGUUUGUUUUCAAAGGGUAUAUGAAUGCAAUUUUAACUUGGUUGCGUCAUUUGGG
Pelobates cultripes (western spadefoot toad) is the source of this 306-nucleotide non-coding RNA. NCBI's taxonomy places the organism in Eukaryota, Metazoa, Chordata, Amphibia, Anura, Pelobatidae. The record is from the annotation of a GenBank genome assembly.